RNAcentral lists this long non-coding RNA (206 nucleotides) under Elaeis guineensis (African oil palm). RNAcentral describes it as "long non-coding RNA (EGUI_LNC004049)". The record is from RNAcentral. Lineage: Eukaryota; Viridiplantae; Streptophyta; Magnoliopsida; Arecales; Arecaceae.
GACUCCUAAUCCCUCUCUGAUCAAGUUUUAAGCUAUGUUUAACUCUAUAAAAGGCACUGUGACGAACAGGAGAGGAGUGUGGUCAUUUUCUCACCGCCGUACGAACCAGAGGAGAGAAAGAGAGGCUAGGGCGCUGAGAGAGAAAGAGCAGGAGGCUCCUGGACAGCGGUCGCCAGGCUCUUCAGGGGUUCAGGGGGGUCUCCAAG